Molecule: unclassified non-coding RNA, 345 nt
Filed under: Hevea brasiliensis (rubber tree)
Lineage: Eukaryota; Viridiplantae; Streptophyta; Magnoliopsida; Malpighiales; Euphorbiaceae
Source: RNAcentral
GUCUCUCGGAGAUCUACCAGCAUAUGCCUGUCAACACCAACUCCUGGAACUGAAGAAAAGGAAUGCAUUAGACCUUAUAGUGAUUGUUCCGAUGUGUCCAGCAUGCAAAUUGGAGAAGAGGAAGAUGAGUGCUCAGUCAUGCCCGCACGAGUUUUUCACUCAAAUCAGGGCUUAGCUCAAGCUUGCAAAUUUGUACAUAAUGAUGCAAAAUUUGUAAAUGAAAGAGCACGUAAUGACAUUAUCUUACUUUCACGUGGAAUUAUGAGCUUGAAUGCCCGUGCACGCAAAGAUGUUGCUAUUCUUGGGUCAAAGUUUCUUAAACUUGAUGAGAAAAUCGACCGCAAC